CGGCCCUCCCUGGAUUCACACACACACACACACACACACACACACACACACACACACACACACACACACACACACACACACACACAAUCCAACCUGGAGAUUCUCCAUCCUCCAACCUGUGGAUCCUCCUAACCUGCACUUUCGGUGUCCUCGUGGGGUCGAGCAUGACCCCGACCACAACCCCCCCACUGCACAUCCUCACCCACUUGUGGGGUCAGUCGAAAACCCUCCUCCGUUGCCCUCGUGGGGUCUAAAAAUGAGAGCUGCGUGAGGGUUAAGAUGAUCACAUUUUAACCCAAACUAUCGUAUGAAAUUUAACAACUUUAAAAGUCACGUGAAUUUUAAAACAAACUUAUUCUAUGGGCACAUAGCCUAUGGAAAUCAAGGAGGUUCAGUUAUUUCGACAAUUUUAUUGAUUUUCGGAACUAGAGACUUGAUGUCGUGUCCGUGUUUUCUUUUGCAUGUUUUUAACAUCGUAGUGUCCAACGCACCUUGAAUACCGCAGCGGCAGAAGGAUUCGGCCUCAUUGAACAGGUUGAAUCCGCUCCUGAACCGUAGCGUCCAACUCGCAGACAGGCCGGUGAAAAAGCUUGGUCUAUUGGCCAGUCUCUGCACCACCGGAGUCUUUUACUAGAUGGGUAACAUUUUGAACUCGCGUUUCUUAUUUUCGCUCUAAAAACGAUAAUUACUGUAUGUCUGGGCGACACUGAUACAUGCUGGCAAGCAGAGGCAAGAGAAGCAUCUCCUACAACUGCAGGGGUUUCCUUUGGUUAAACAAAUUCUGUCUCUGCUCUUUAAAUUUGUUUCGGUUUGUUCCGUGUAAUUCUAAUUUAACUAUUGGUUGAUUACUAUUUUUGUUUCAGGUGCCCCAACCAACCUUCUUAUCAAGCCUCUCUUCCACCGCUACCACCUCUUAGCAAGCCUCUGGUGGGACGGGUUCAUCCUCUGCGCUGAGACUUAAUUAUGAUAUGCCACAGCAACGUCAGCCCCAAGUAUUGGCUGAGGUGGAGUCAACUUUAGCAGCAGUGAUGCAGCAUCAUAAUGCACAAUCUAACCUAAGCCAUGCACAUGUUGGAUUAUUUGUUGCACAUGCAGCCCAGCUCCAGUCAGUCUGUGAAGAUGUCAUGGUCAGUUCUUUACAGGUCUGUGUGGUAGUUGGUUGUUUAGGCUAUAGACUUGUUCACAUUUGUGUCACGGGGGACAGGAAUGAAAGACUCAACGCUGAUAAUAUUUCAUCUUCUCUAUUUGCAUAAAUCAAAUUUAAACCUUGUUUUCUCACCCAAUGGUUGGUGUCUGCACAACAGAGCUAAGAUUUGACAUUUACUUGGUUUAUUCUAGUUCAUUAACUCUGAAAACAUUUAAAAAUCACACUCCUGCUGUGGACCCGUUUUUGUGGGGAGUACCAAGAUCAUAAGGCGCAUAAACCAACCUCAUGUUAAGCCAACACCUCCGUCUCCUGCAGAGGAGCUCAGCAAUGGGGAAAUCUACAGGUCAGCAAGAAAGCAAAAGCUCAGUCCCAGCCAUCAUGUUGUGAAGACUUACUUUGGAACAUUUAAGAUGCUGCGUGUGUCCUUUCUCUUCUUCCAGAGACUGCGCCCUACAGAACCUCGCAGCGCAGAUGAAGGCACUCCCUAAAGUUGUGGGCUGUGAGCUGCCACCUACUCGGGAUUUGCUGGUUAUAGACGGACAUGAUCUACUCUGCAGCUUGCAUUAUUACACGCCAAGUGUGUGUUUCACUGUUUGAUAAUGGAAGGGAACAAACUCAAUACUUGGUGGAGAAAACGUUGGCUGCAAUACAUCUGAAUCUGAACUGUGAUAAAGAAAAAUAACGUGACAGCGGAUGAAGUUUGUUCCCGAGAACAGGAAAAAAAAACCAGUUGUGAUUCUGAUGUUGGUAAUAACAUGAGAUGUAUUCAUUAGGUAAUACUACAGAAAAUGUCUUAUUACCAAUAUGUUUCUUCAUAGUGUGAAUUUGAGGUUUGACUUGGAGUUUUGACAUGCUUGACAAAAUGACAAAAGCUCUAAGAUUUGACCAAGAAUGGGAUUAAGUUUAUUGAAGACAUUUACACAGACACGUCUACUGAAGAAGUGGCAUAACUGUACUGUAGCUAAAUGUACAAUAGUACCAGUAGUUCCACUCCUCUAUUGUAGCUUUUGACUUGUCUGUAGUUACAUUUUUAUACAACAUUUGUUCUUCUUUAAAUGUUCUUUGUUUUUCUGGAAGUCCUGAUGAGAUUUGUACAAGCAGACUUGAAGCUACAGUACAACGUCUUCAUUUACGGAAGCCAACUGUGCGGCUCUUCUACUACUUCGUUAUUGAGUGUGCUCGCUUUCUCCGUCACCUCCUGGUUUAAUUCCAUUAGCCUGCAAAGAAAAAUCUGUCGGGACCCCUCACAUCCUAAGUCCCAUGUUCCAGUGGCUCCCAUCAGGACACAGACUCCCUGAUGCAGGACCCAAAUAGGAGAAACACUGUAAUCCCAGCAGUAGUUAUCCAUCAGUAUGCUGUCCUGUACAAUGACGCUUUUAAUUGAUCUUAUUAGUAAUAUUAAUUUUCCUGGAUGCUUUACCUUAAUUGGCCUUCAGGGAUAAAUAAUAGAGAUAAAGUGUUUUAAAUUGAAUUGAUCAAUACAUUAUAAAUACCUGAAAUACUUAUGUACACAUUAUUCAAAGAAAUAAAUUAAAAACAAAUCUAUGUUGUGAAGUUCA
Betta splendens (Siamese fighting fish) is the source of this 2706-nucleotide long non-coding RNA. The record is from Ensembl. Lineage: Eukaryota; Metazoa; Chordata; Actinopteri; Anabantiformes; Osphronemidae.